UAGAGCACCUGCUCUGAUACCACUUGUUGCCCAAGGUGACAACCCAAGAGGGGGGGUGAAUUGGGUUUUCUAAAAAUUAUGUUCCCUAAUUUAUACUUUGAAUUGAAUGCAGCGGAAUGAUAAAAUGUUAUUUACUUAAGCUCUAGGCAAUUACAAGUAAAGCAUUGGAAAAUUAAGCUAGAGCAAUUAUACUAUGGCUUUAGGGUGCAAUUAAUCUAAAAUUAACUUAUAGUUGUAUGAUCAAUUUUAAUCUAUGUGUAUGGUAAGAAUGAAGUGGAAGCUAAGCAAAUUCUAAACAAUCACUUAUAACUCUAUAGAAAACAAAGCUAGAGAUAUUACACAAUUAAGUAUGAAUGUAAGGC
RNAcentral lists this long non-coding RNA (362 nucleotides) under Phoenix dactylifera (date palm). RNAcentral describes it as "long non-coding RNA (PDAC_LNC015221)". The record is from RNAcentral. Lineage: Eukaryota; Viridiplantae; Streptophyta; Magnoliopsida; Arecales; Arecaceae.